Molecule: non-coding RNA, 75 nt
Organism: Myotis brandtii (Brandt's bat)
Lineage: Eukaryota; Metazoa; Chordata; Mammalia; Chiroptera; Vespertilionidae
Source: Rfam
GGAGGUUCUCAGGUGAUGCACCCCGGAAUCAAGCUCCCUCCUCUCUGGUUCCAUGUGCGUCACCCGAGGACCACA